RNAcentral lists this ribosomal RNA (402 nucleotides) under uncultured Prevotella sp. RNAcentral's name for it is "bacterial SSU rRNA". It matches the Rfam family "Bacterial small subunit ribosomal RNA", at positions 354 to 751 of the family's 1533-position model. The record is from RNAcentral. Lineage: Bacteria; Pseudomonadati; Bacteroidota; Bacteroidia; Bacteroidales; Prevotellaceae.
UGAGGGAAUAUUGGGUCAAUGGACGGGGAGUCUGAACCAGCCAAGUAGCGUGCAGGAUGACGGCCCUAUGGGUUGUAAACUGCUUUUAUAGGGGGAUAAAGUGUGCCACGUGUGGCAUAUUGCAGGUACCCUAUGAAUAAGGACCGGCUAAUUCCGUGCCAGCAGCCGCGGUAAUACGGAAGGUCCGGGCGUUAUCCGGAUUUAUUGGGUUUAAAGGGAGCGUAGGCCGGAGAUUAAGCGUGUUGUGAAAUGCCGCGGCUCAACCGUGGCACUGCAGCGCGAACUGGUUUUCUUGAGUGCGCGCGACGCAGGCGGAAUUCGUGGUGUGGCGGUGAAAUGCUUAGAUAUCACGAGGAACCCCGAUUGCGAAGGCAGCUUGCGGGAGCGCAACUGACGCUGAAG